AUGAUUUGGUCGCACGGGGAAAUCCCCUGCAGCAAGAACAAGCCAUGGUUCCGGUUGCGCAGGGAAAUCCACAUCCAGCAAGAACAAGACAUCGUUCCUUCGCCUCCAGAACCAAACUCUCACCUCCGGAUGCACCUCGUCGGCGCUACAACGCUCUUUGCUAGACCCACUCUGGAAUCUCCUCGCGUCAAGGGCUGGAUGGGGAGUGAUGGGGAAAGGGGGGAGGGUGGAGAUUGGAAGAUGCGGCAGAGUCCUGGAAGGAGGCUGGUGGCGUUAAUUCUCAUGGAGGAGAUGGCAGGAGAUAGACGGAGGUGGAGGAGCUCGCAUCCUUGCGUAGGAAUGUGAAGCAUCAUCGAUGGGCGUGAUCUACUUCGGGAGGGUUCAAUCUGGCGCAUUGGAGACGGCUCAAGCAUCAAUGUCCACCACAGUAAUUGGAUCCCGAGGAGUGGGUGUCCCCGGGGUCAAGUAUUCAUCCCGAGCAUCUCAAGAGUUGUUGAUCUGUUGACCUCGGAUGGUAGGAGCUGGGAUGCAUCAAAAGUCGAAGCCAUGUUCUUCGCUAACGAUGCAAAGGAUAUCAAGCAGAUCGCCAUUGGAGGGCCAGGUGUGGAUGACUUCUUGGCAUGGAACCAUACGAAGAAUGGUGACUUUACAGUCCGGUCUGCCUACCAUCUGAAAAUGGAUAUGAAGAAGGCGCGUGGGGGCCGGCCUGAGGGCUCAAGCUCUCUCCACAGGCACCGUGGUUACAUGGCUCUUUGGGAUACCGACGCCCCGAACAAGACGAAGAUUCACCUAUGGCGCCUCAUCCGCAAUGGCCUGGCUGUUGGAGCGGAGCUUCAUCGCCGUCGAAUUAAGCCUGGUGUGUUUUGCACGGUGUGUGGACGGGAGGAGACAACCCUGCAUCGAUUUUGGCACUGCCAGCAUUCUGUCCAGGUCUGGCGCGGGCUGCAGGCGCAACUUCAAACUAAUGUGCCAGCUCCUCCUUCCCACCUGGAGUCCCAUGGACCCGUGGCCCGUUGGCUGCUGGAAUGGCUCUCGGAUGCGCCGGCUGGUGACCGCUCGAUCAUGGCCCAGACUACGUACGGGCUCCGGCUUGCAAGGAACGAGGCGAGAGACGGUGUCCGGAUUGCACCGCCCCAAGAUGUGGCUGCCAGGGUGAUCUCCUGCAUGCAAGAGUGGACGGUGGCUAAUGCGACAGUGGCUGUCCGUGCUCCCACUUCUAGGACUGCAGAUAGCUGGUCACCUCCUGAGGAAGGCUGGAUGAAGGUGAAUUCUGACGGGGCAGUGGCACGGAGCAGGUCCAAUGGCGGCGGUGGGCUCGUCUUGCGCGAUCAUAAUGGUGGUUUUAUCGCAGGUGCUUGCCACUUCUUCCCAGGUGUUUCCGACCCGGAGUCUACGGAAGUCCUAGCCUGUGCCAAGAUGCUCGAGGUGGCCAAGGAGUGCAAUGUGCAACGAAUCCAUGUUGAGUUGGACUGCAAGGGAGUGGUGCAGAUGCUCCAGAAUCAGACUAAAAACCUCUCCCCUAUCGGGCCCUGGGUGGAGGCGAUCAAGGACUCCCUGCGUGGAUUUGUAGAUUUUAGGGUUUCUUGGGUGGGUCGGUCUGCAAAUGCUGCAGCUCAUAAGCUAGCUAAAGUUGCAGUGGGUGAGGAACGGGACCAUGUGUGGCGUAGUUUCCCCCCUGAUUGUAUCCUGGAUGUUAUUUCGGAUGACAUUCCGAGCUUUGGUUAA
RNAcentral lists this ribosomal RNA (1725 nucleotides) under Triticum aestivum (bread wheat). RNAcentral describes it as "partial small subunit ribosomal RNA". The record is from RNAcentral. Lineage: Eukaryota; Viridiplantae; Streptophyta; Magnoliopsida; Poales; Poaceae.